RNAcentral lists this ribosomal RNA (459 nucleotides) under uncultured bacterium. Its description in RNAcentral is "partial 16S ribosomal RNA". It matches the Rfam family "Bacterial small subunit ribosomal RNA", at positions 338 to 795 of the family's 1533-position model. The record is from RNAcentral.
CCUACGGGAGGCAGCAGUGAGGAAUAUUGGUCAAUGGCCGGAAGGCUGAACCAGCCAAGCCGCGUGAAGGACGAAGGUGCCAAGCAUUGUAAACUUCUUUUGUCAAGGGACAAAAUCAGGCUCGAGAGCCUGACCGAGGGUACUUGAAGAAAAAGCAUCGGCUAACUCCGUUCCAGCAGCCGCGGUAAUACGGAGGAUGCGAGCGUUAUCCGGAUUUAUUGGGUUUAAAGGGUGCGUAGGCGGGCUUUUAAGUCAGCGGUAAAAGCCCGGGGCUCAACCCCGGCGAGCCGUUGAAACUGGCGGUCUUGAGAUGUCGAGAGGUAUGCGGAAUGCGCAGUGUAGCGGUGAAAUGCUUAGAUAUUGCGCAGAACUCCGAUUGCGAAGGCAGCAUACCGGCGGCGAUCUGACGCUGAGGCACGAAAGCGUGGGUAUCGAACAGGAUUAGAUACCCCAGUAGUC